Molecule: long non-coding RNA, 328 nt
Filed under: Vigna radiata
Lineage: Eukaryota; Viridiplantae; Streptophyta; Magnoliopsida; Fabales; Fabaceae
Description: long non-coding RNA (VRAD_LNC015608)
Source: RNAcentral
GAUGAGCUUAAUUUUAUGCGAUGAAAAGGUUCAAGUUUGGGGUUGCAUGGGGAAAAAAAAGGCAAGUGAAAAGCAUUGAGCUCAAAUGUUGUGAAAAGAAAAAAUCAUGAGAAAAAGAAAAGAAAAGAAGAAAAGAAUGAAGAUGAGCUCAAUGAAAAAGAAAAAGGGAAAGAGUUGGGAAUGAAUGAGAUUGGUGAGGAAGAGAGUUGUCCUUAAAUGAUGAAUAUUAUUAUAGCUCUUUUAACUCAAGGACUCUGCAUUCCGGAAAAACCAAUUUUUCUUGUUAACCCAACCUUAUUACAAGCCUUGGAAAAGUCCUUUUGAUGAC